GCUCCCGGCUCCGGGAGGUCUGCUAAAGCCCAUUCAGGUGCACCGCUGGCAGGUCAGGUGGUCCACGUGCCGAGGGGAGGAGACAGCGUCCUUACCUGGUUUCUGCUUCAUUCACGGUUGGAGCUGACGAAUUCUACAGGCUCCCUUUGGCCGGGGGUGAAACAUUGAUUUCCUACCUGCGUGGGCACGUCUGUGACGCCCUCCUUAAGGUCUUACCUGGCAAGCCCUCGGAGUUGUACUUUUCUUCCCGGAACGUUCUUCUUCAUAUGUUCACGCUGUAGUUAAGGGAGCAGGAGCAGCAGGGAGCUGUUUGCUGUGACUGAAGACGUGCCAGGCAGAGUGGCAUUCGGGGCAAGGUGGCAGACACACUGAGGACAAGGGCUGUGGUAUUUGGAGUGUCGGUUUUACUUGUUCUAAGAAAACAAGCGUGUUUUAUCCGCAAUGCCGCGGAUUCCGUAUUCAUUUCCUUGAUGGAACGGCAGGGUCCCUGAAACACCAUUUCUUCGGAUUGUUUGAUCCUUAGCUUAGAAAGGUUGGAAAUCCACGGGAUCUGAACCCCAGACGCGGAUCCAGCCAGAAGGUCUGGUGUUGUUUCCCCUGACACAUUGAUUUGGCCUGGGAAAGGUCGCUGUCCUGGGACACACAGAAAGCUUUCGGAUACGCGUGGCAGUGCUGUGAGCUGGAGUCCGGGAGACCGUGUAUUGAGAUGCACGGUUGGGUCGCAGGCAGAGUUGUCUUGUUGGGGACGGUGUUUCCAAGACAACGACCGGUGGUUAAGAGGUGAUGAUUCAAAAAAAAAAGCCUUCACCUGUGCUCGCCCGGCUUUCAUCUUUCGCAGACAAAGCAGGCUGGGGCUUGGGCCUCGGUCUGUGGCAUGCUUAGGGCCCGGGUAUUAAAGGGGCUGGAUCACCCUCAGGCUUUUAAGGGUUUUUUUGGGUUAAAUUGAUGAGCAUGUAUAAUAAAUUGAAGCUUUGUUGUUUGGCGGAUUUUUUUCUCUAUUUGUUAUUUUAUCAGUUAAGAGAAGGGGGUGGGGGGGGGGCGUUCGUCUCUCCUCCCACGUCUCAGAUUUGCCUUGAGAUUUGUCAUCGACUGGGAUGGGCUUGGAUAUGACUAGCAUUUUUGUAUGUGUCUGUUUCUCCAAGCUGCCUGGAAUCCAAGCACCCGAGUGUCUAGAUGGCCGGUGUGUAGAGUCUUGACAGGGUUUGCACAGGGCCCAGGGGACCGGUGUCCCCUGUGUCCCUCCAUGGCGAGGGCCUGACCUGUCCCUGCGGGGGACACACCCAGCAGAUUCUUCUCUGCUGGAAAUUGGGACUUCAUUUAUGUCAGUCUGUCAUUUUCUUCUGUUUAUUUGUGUCUUUGGAAUUUCGUCUUGUUCAAAGCAGAACUGAAUGAAUUUAGUGAGCGUGUGAGUUUUUGGGACUGCUUGCCUUUGGGGAGCAGUGUGGCUCAGAAGGGCCAGGCCCACGCAGUGCCCGCACUGGUCAGCCUGUGAGCAGUCAGUUUCAGACGAGCCUGUCUGGGCUACAAACACGCUGUGUAAACACAGGGCACACGGGAACACGCGGCAUUCUGCGGAAGGGGCCGUUUAAAGCAGGCUGUUCCGCGUACCCCCGAUGCUUCUAUGACAUGUGUGUGCGAACGUAUCGAUAUGUGCCUUUUGGGGUGGGGGGGCGGGCACUUUUACCAGAUACUUUCUUUUUCCUUCUACUAGGGCGCCAUGCUCGAGGGGGUGUGGAAAAGCCGCCGAAUACACAGGAAGGUUGUGUUGACUUUGUUCUCAGCCUUCACUCUUUUCCUUGGGCCAAGGUGACGGAGCUCUCUGCCCGUACUUGCCGAAGCGCCCAACUCCCCUUGUUUCAUUCUUUGUAAAUAAAACAGACUUCCCUCUUCCCUGCACCAUGGCUCGCUCCUAGUUUCCUCCACGGCUACAAUUCAGUCUAAUCGUAUCUCUUGGAAAUAAUAUGAGAAAGUUAUGCUGUUUUACUCCAUCAGAUUUAAUAAGUUUGGAUGCUUUCCAAGUACUCGGCAUUAAUCACACUUAAACCCAGGGCUUGAUAGUUCAUCCACCCGGAGUAUUCAUGUCAGAGACAUAAAACAAUCUGCUUUAAUGCCUACAGUUCCCUUUAAAUUGAGCACUUGCCUUGUGUUAAUAAAACUUGCUUUGUAUUGAGGGGCAAUACAACGGGCAAAGACUGGGGGUGGGGAUUUUUAUGUCACGUAAAGCGUUUCAUGGCCGAAUUUUCCUUUCCUGUUUUAAAGCUUUGCAGAAUUACAUGGGGAAAAAAAAAAAAAAAAAAGGAACAAGGUAGGCUCAGAAUAAGGAGGAAUUAGUCAGCUUGGCAGUCUCCAGAGCUUGGUUUCCAUCAGAGAGAUGACGUGGCCCUGACAAUUGGACAACACUCUUGAUGUUGCUCCUGUGCUCCAUUCUGGGAGUGACGCUGUGACACUGGACGCUGGUGUUUGCCCGUGUUCCAGGAGGAGGGUACGAUGCCCGCUGUCCGCGCCACCUGCCACAGUCGCGGGCUGCAGGGAUGCACACAGACCAGGCCAACGUUCAGAAGUACUGUCUUCGUCACCAGCAUGUGACUGUCCUUUUAAGUGGGAAGUGUCCUGCCUCUUCUCCACCCCCGUGACGAUGUGAAGAGAGUGGUUUCUCGAGCAUCUUUCUCCUUUUGGGCAUGGAAGUCUUCAUCUUGUAGCAGAGUUUCUUUAAUAUUUCAUCAGAGUGACGGAAGUUUCCACUUGUUAGUAUUUUCUUGAGGAUCCCUCCAUGGCGUGAGGGGAGGUUUGCUCCGGGGACGAAGGGAGCACAGAGAACAUGAACUCUGCCAGAGGGAGGCACUGACUGAUCCUGGGGCUGGCUCUCAGGUGGCUUUCCAUCCUUAGUCCACAGAGUGUGGUCACUGUGGGUGGCCUGCCAGGCUCUGAGGCAGAAAUACCUGUCAGCCAACACAUAUCCCAAGACCACGUGCUUUGUACUUAACUACCCUAGGAAGCACCCAGAUCGUAUGGGUACGGACUCUGCUACAAGACAUUCUAAACUCCAAGCCACGCAAGGUAUGAUAAGUAAUUGCUGACUGGCGUGUGCCCAUGAUGACUUCAGUGCAGUUCUGAGAAGGGGUGGACGAGGCUUGGGUGUUGGGUAGCCUCCCAGCAAGUGGUUGGUGUUUAAGGGUGCUGGCCCUUCCUCUGGCCUCACGCACUGAACCCAGCUGGUUCAUGCAUGACUUGGCCACUAGGGGAGUUUUCUGGAAGCGUAUUUUAUGUCAUCGGAUGAAGCCUGCACACGCAAGAAAUCUCCAUUUCAAUCUGAGAAUACAGGACACUGCCUGGUCUGAACCAACCAACAAGCAAACGGACGAGUUGGACGACUGUGGUAGAGAAGGGCAUCCACUCUGUAGUGACGGCUCAGCCUCAGCAGAUGAGACACCGCACAGUUACUUUCUUUUAAAAAAAUUUUUUUUUUAUUAACGUUUAUUUAUUUUUGAGACAGACAGAGCAUGAACGGGGGAGGGUCAGAGAGAGAGGGAGACACAGAAUUGGAAGCAGGCUCCAGGCUCUGAGCCGUCAGCCCAGAGCCCGACGCGGGGCUCGAACUCACGGACCGCGAGAUCGUGACCUGAGCCGAAGUCGGACGCUUAACCGACUGAGCCACCCAGGCGCCCCGACAGUUGCUUUCCUCUCUGAUCUUUGUCAUCCCUGCUGAAAAGGGUCUGUAGAAGAUGUGGCUCAGAUAUAUAUGGAGUUUAAUUGCUUCAAAUUAUGUGGACAUCUAAAAUUAACACCAGCCUUGGUAUUAAUGUUCAGAGUUUGGAAUAUAUUUAAUUGGGCUCAUCUGUAUCUGCUGGUCAUAGAUAAUCUAUGUGUGUUUGUAGGUACACAAAUCCAGCAUUUAUUUGGGGUAUGUAGGCCAUCAGCAAGUUGUAGGGAAGUUUGCUCAUACAGUUGGCUGAUGAGGCUGAUGUUGGGAGACCGGGCUUACCCCUUAGGAAGCUUAUAAUUCCGUAUGAUGGUAGUUGUAACCUUUCCUGGAAAAUAUCUUAAUCCCCGUGACAUCAUACUGUGAAAGAAGCUGUCAUAUGACUCAUUUCUCAAACGUUAAUUUAAGAAAUCUUUGUCACAUGCCUGUUGUGAUCCAGGCAGUCCUGUAGAUGUCAGGGACAGAGUAGUGAGUGGAGACAGACCAAGUUCCUGCUCUCACGGACCUUGCACUGCCCGGGAGGGGAAGACAGAAGCCAGUAACGUAAAAGGAGUCUGUGCUAGUUAGGGCUGGCAAGUGCUGUGAAGUGUGUGGGGAGCAGGGCACAAGGAGAACCCCCCCAUGUGACCCAGGGCCUUUGAACAGAGACCUGAUGCAGUGAGUGAGCAAACCUUGGAGGUGGCUGAGGGAAAGAACAUUCUAGAAGGAGCCAUAAAUGCCAAGUCCUUGAAGUAAAGGUGUGCUUGACGUCUUCAGGGAACUUCUGUUGUUCGCCUGCCAUACACAUUGUCUGCUUAGGUAGGUUUUUAACUUCACCACCGUGUUCAAGUAGCAAUAAAUUGCUUUCCCAACCAGAUUUAUGCCAGAUUGAGGGCUGAAACCAUAUCCUAAAUGUGCCUUGUGCUUUCGUGAUGUUUAGCCUGAUGGUGACCCCAUAACAAGUGCACAACAAACACAUUAAAAUUUAUGGAUCCCGUGAUUAAAAUGUUAAAAUUAACCAUAAUGUAAUGGAUCUGUAGUUGAUACGGAACAUUUUUCAAGGAAAAGAAAAAUCUCUUGCUACCUCAACCUUUCUUUCUCAGUUUCCUGUCUGUGGAGAUUUUAUGCAGGCUCAUCAGGCUCAAAUUAGUAAUUGGGCACUGUCCCAGGAAAUGGCCCAAUACUGGAUAUUUGAUAACAUUUUUUCUUACUAUAGAGUGUCCACAAGAUCAAGAUUCUGUCCUCAGAUUCCACAGGUAAGUGGAGUCAAGGGGGCAAUUACAGCUUCCCCGUGUAGCACAGUGAUGCACAGGAAGUGUUUUGGAAGUUAAUUUUGAGUUCACGGUCAUCUUUAUUGAAGGUACAAUUUAUGCCGGAGGUGUGAUCCGAAAUUAAUUCCUACAAUGAGUGAAGGAAAAGCUCUUCAUGUAUAUUUGGGGACUUUGGGUUUAGAGGAAGCCGGUGCUAAAUCACUGGAAAGGGAAAGAAUCCUUAUGUGAAUAUCCCAGCCCUGGCUGAUGUAGAAACACACUGAACAUGUGUGUGUGUGUUUUUCUGUGUUACGUGGUUUUAAUGGGGAGAGGAACAUUCCGGAGGGCGGUAAGUGCAAAGAUCCUGAGGCGCAAGGCUUCUUGCAAUGACCAGUGAGAGUCCAGAAGGUCACUGUAUUGUAUUCCCACAGCACAUGCUGUGCAGAUCUCUUUGCUGCAGCUGGACUUUGACUGAAGAGGGGACAAAACUGAGUUCCCGGCCUCACACUUGGUGAUGUGUUGUGAUAUCCCGAGAA
Molecule: long non-coding RNA, 5465 nt
Organism: Acinonyx jubatus (cheetah)
Lineage: Eukaryota; Metazoa; Chordata; Mammalia; Carnivora; Felidae
Exons: 3
Source: RefSeq, a predicted model, not a curated record